Molecule: ribosomal RNA, 500 nt
Filed under: uncultured bacterium
Lineage: Bacteria
Description: partial 16S ribosomal RNA
Rfam family: Bacterial small subunit ribosomal RNA
Source: RNAcentral
AUUGAACGCUGGCGGCAUGCCUUACACAUGCAAGUCGAACGGCAGCACGGGAGCAAUCCUGGUGGCGAGUGGCGAACGGGUGAGUAAAGUAUCGGAACGUGCCCAGUCGUGGGGGAUAACGUAGCGAAAGUUACGCUAAUACCGCAUACGAUCUAUGGAUGAAAGCGGGGGAUCGCAAGAACUCGCGCGAUUGGAGCGGCAGAUAUCAGAUUAGGUAGUUGGUGGGGUAAAGGCCCACCAAGCCGACGAUCUGUAGCUGGUCUGAGAGGACGACCAGCCACACUGGGACUGAGACACGGCCCAGACUCCUACGGGAGGCAGCAGUGGGGAAUUUUGGACAAUGGGCGAAAGCCUGAUCCAGCCAUGCCGCGUGCAGGAUGAAGGCCUUCGGGUUGUAAACUGCUUUUGUACGGAACGAAAAGGACUGCCCUAAUACGGUGGUCCCAUGACGGUACCGUAAGAAUAAGCACCGGCUAACUACGUGCCAGCAGCCGCCGUAA